RNAcentral lists this ribosomal RNA (2905 nucleotides) under Escherichia coli. Its description in RNAcentral is "23S ribosomal RNA". It matches the Rfam family "Bacterial large subunit ribosomal RNA". The record is from RNAcentral. Lineage: Bacteria; Pseudomonadati; Pseudomonadota; Gammaproteobacteria; Enterobacterales; Enterobacteriaceae.
GGUUAAGCGACUAAGCGUACACGGUGGAUGCCCUGGCAGUCAGAGGCGAUGAAGGACGUGCUAAUCUGCGAUAAGCGUCGGUAAGGUGAUAUGAACCGUUAUAACCGGCGAUUUCCGAAUGGGGAAACCCAGUGUGUUUCGACACACUAUCAUUAACUGAAUCCAUAGGUUAAUGAGGCGAACCGGGGGAACUGAAACAUCUAAGUACCCCGAGGAAAAGAAAUCAACCGAGAUUCCCCCAGUAGCGGCGAGCGAACGGGGAGCAGCCCAGAGCCUGAAUCAGUGUGUGUGUUAGUGGAAGCGUCUGGAAAGGCGCGCGAUACAGGGUGACAGCCCCGUACACAAAAAUGCACAUAUUGUGAGCUCGAUGAGUAGGGCGGGACACGUGGUAUCCUGUCUGAAUAUGGGGGGACCAUCCUCCAAGGCUAAAUACUCCUGACUGACCGAUAGUGAACCAGUACCGUGAGGGAAAGGCGAAAAGAACCCCGGCGAGGGGAGUGAAAAAGAACCUGAAACCGUGUACGUACAAGCAGUGGGAGCACGCUUAGGCGUGUGACUGCGUACCUUUUGUAUAAUGGGUCAGCGACUUAUAUUCUGUAGCAAGGUUAACCGAAUAGGGGAGCCGAAGGGAAACCGAGUCUUAACUGGGCGUUAAGUUGCAGGGUAUAGACCCGAAACCCGGUGAUCUAGCCAUGGGCAGGUUGAAGGUUGGGUAACACUAACUGGAGGACCGAACCGACUAAUGUUGAAAAAUUAGCGGAUGACUUGUGGCUGGGGGUGAAAGGCCAAUCAAACCGGGAGAUAGCUGGUUCUCCCCGAAAGCUAUUUAGGUAGCGCCUCGUGAAUUCAUCUCCGGGGGUAGAGCACUGUUUCGGCAAGGGGGUCAUCCCGACUUACCAACCCGAUGCAAACUGCGAAUACCGGAGAAUGUUAUCACGGGAGACACACGGCGGGUGCUAACGUCCGUCGUGAAGAGGGAAACAACCCAGACCGCCAGCUAAGGUCCCAAAGUCAUGGUUAAGUGGGAAACGAUGUGGGAAGGCCCAGACAGCCAGGAUGUUGGCUUAGAAGCAGCCAUCAUUUAAAGAAAGCGUAAUAGCUCACUGGUCGAGUCGGCCUGCGCGGAAGAUGUAACGGGGCUAAACCAUGCACCGAAGCUGCGGCAGCGACACUAUGUGUUGUUGGGUAGGGGAGCGUUCUGUAAGCCUGUGAAGGUGUGCUGUGAGGCAUGCUGGAGGUAUCAGAAGUGCGAAUGCUGACAUAAGUAACGAUAAAGCGGGUGAAAAGCCCGCUCGCCGGAAGACCAAGGGUUCCUGUCCAACGUUAAUCGGGGCAGGGUGAGUCGACCCCUAAGGCGAGGCCGAAAGGCGUAGUCGAUGGGAAACAGGUUAAUAUUCCUGUACUUGGUGUUACUGCGAAGGGGGGACGGAGAAGGCUAUGUUGGCCGGGCGACGGUUGUCCCGGUUUAAGCGUGUAGGCUGGUUUUCCAGGCAAAUCCGGAAAAUCAAGGCUGAGGCGUGAUGACGAGGCACUACGGUGCUGAAGCAACAAAUGCCCUGCUUCCAGGAAAAGCCUCUAAGCAUCAGGUAACAUCAAAUCGUACCCCAAACCGACACAGGUGGUCAGGUAGAGAAUACCAAGGCGCUUGAGAGAACUCGGGUGAAGGAACUAGGCAAAAUGGUGCCGUAACUUCGGGAGAAGGCACGCUGAUAUGUAGGUGAAGUCCCUCGCGGAUGGAGCUGAAAUCAGUCGAAGAUACCAGCUGGCUGCAACUGUUUAUUAAAAACACAGCACUGUGCAAACACGAAAGUGGACGUAUACGGUGUGACGCCUGCCCGGUGCCGGAAGGUUAAUUGAUGGGGUUAGCCGCAAGGCGAAGCUCUUGAUCGAAGCCCCGGUAAACGGCGGCCGUAACUAUAACGGUCCUAAGGUAGCGAAAUUCCUUGUCGGGUAAGUUCCGACCUGCACGAAUGGCGUAAUGAUGGCCAGGCUGUCUCCACCCGAGACUCAGUGAAAUUGAACUCGCUGUGAAGAUGCAGUGUACCCGCGGCAAGACGGAAAGACCCCGUGAACCUUUACUAUAGCUUGACACUGAACAUUGAGCCUUGAUGUGUAGGAUAGGUGGGAGGCUUUGAAGUGUGGACGCCAGUCUGCAUGGAGCCGACCUUGAAAUACCACCCUUUAAUGUUUGAUGUUCUAACGUUGACCCGUAAUCCGGGUUGCGGACAGUGUCUGGUGGGUAGUUUGACUGGGGCGGUCUCCUCCUAAAGAGUAACGGAGGAGCACGAAGGUUGGCUAAUCCUGGUCGGACAUCAGGAGGUUAGUGCAAUGGCAUAAGCCAGCUUGACUGCGAGCGUGACGGCGCGAGCAGGUGCGAAAGCAGGUCAUAGUGAUCCGGUGGUUCUGAAUGGAAGGGCCAUCGCUCAACGGAUAAAAGGUACUCCGGGGAUAACAGGCUGAUACCGCCCAAGAGUUCAUAUCGACGGCGGUGUUUGGCACCUCGAUGUCGGCUCAUCACAUCCUGGGGCUGAAGUAGGUCCCAAGGGUAUGGCUGUUCGCCAUUUAAAGUGGUACGCGAGCUGGGUUUAGAACGUCGUGAGACAGUUCGGUCCCUAUCUGCCGUGGGCGCUGGAGAACUGAGGGGGGCUGCUCCUAGUACGAGAGGACCGGAGUGGACGCAUCACUGGUGUUCGGGUUGUCAUGCCAAUGGCACUGCCCGGUAGCUAAAUGCGGAAGAGAUAAGUGCUGAAAGCAUCUAAGCACGAAACUUGCCCCGAGAUGAGUUCUCCCUGACUCCUUGAGAGUCCUGAAGGAACGUUGAAGACGACGACGUUGAUAGGCCGGGUGUGUAAGCGCAGCGAUGCGUUGAGCUAACCGGUACUAAUGAACCGUGAGGCUUAACCUU